AUACCUUUCUCGACCUUUUGGCUAAGAUCAAGUGUAGUAUCUGUUCUUAUCAGUUUAAUAUGUGAUACUUGGACCAUUGGUUCACUAUGAUAUUAAAUUAAUUUUUGUUUUGGGGAGGGAUCAUUACAAUAGCUUGCUACUAGAUCCUUCACGUGUGUCAUCCUUGUGUUGCACUUUUGCAAGGGUUCGGCACACCUGAC
Zingiber officinale is the source of this 200-nucleotide small nuclear RNA. RefSeq annotates it as U2 spliceosomal RNA. The transcript has a single exon. NCBI's taxonomy places the organism in Eukaryota, Viridiplantae, Streptophyta, Magnoliopsida, Zingiberales, Zingiberaceae. The record is from RefSeq and is a predicted model, not a curated record.